Molecule: ribosomal RNA, 324 nt
Filed under: uncultured eukaryote
Lineage: Eukaryota
Description: partial 18S ribosomal RNA
Rfam family: Eukaryotic small subunit ribosomal RNA
Source: RNAcentral
CCCUUAGAUGUCCUGGGCUGCACGCGCGUUACACUGAUGUGUCCAGUAAGCACCUAACCUCUUCCGAAAGGAACGGGUAACCUUUGCAAAGCACAUCGUGAUGGGGAUAGAUUAUUGCAAUUAUUAGUCUUGAACGAGGAAUUCCUAGUAAGCACAAGUCAUCAGCUUGUGUUGAUUACGUCCCUGCCCUUUGUACACACCGCCCGUCGCUCCUACCGAUUGAAUGUUCCGGUGAGCUCUUCGGACUGCGCGGUCUGCAGUUUCUGCGUUCCGUGCGGAAAGUUGCGCAAACCUUAACAUUUAGAGGAAGGAGAAGUCGUAACA